UCCCGUGUGGCUCAGUUGGUAGAGCAUGGUGUUUGCAAUGCCAGGGUUGUGGGUUUGAUUCCCACGGGGGAU
RNAcentral lists this transfer RNA (72 nucleotides) under Salmo salar (Atlantic salmon). It matches the Rfam family "tRNA". Rfam says of the family: Transfer RNA (tRNA) molecules are approximately 80 nucleotides in length. Lineage: Eukaryota; Metazoa; Chordata; Actinopteri; Salmoniformes; Salmonidae. The record is from Rfam by way of RNAcentral.